Molecule: ribosomal RNA, 229 nt
Filed under: uncultured bacterium
Lineage: Bacteria
Description: partial 16S ribosomal RNA
Rfam family: Bacterial small subunit ribosomal RNA
Source: RNAcentral
GGCGUAGGCGGCUUUUCAAGUCGGAUGUGAAAUCUCCCGGCUUAACUGGGAGGUGUCGUUCGAUACUGUUGGGCUUGAGGGCAGCAGAGGGAGGUGGAAUUCCCGGUGUAGUGGUGGAAUGCGUAGAUAUCGGGAGGAACACCAGUGGCGAAGGCGGCCUCCCAGGCUGUUUCUGACGCUGAGGCCCGUAAGCGUGGGGAGCAAACAGGAUUAGAUACCCUGGUAGUCC